Molecule: small RNA, 149 nt
Filed under: Pongo abelii (Sumatran orangutan)
Lineage: Eukaryota; Metazoa; Chordata; Mammalia; Primates; Hominidae
Description: Metazoan signal recognition particle RNA (ENSPPYG00000039273.1)
Source: Rfam by way of RNAcentral
GCUGGGCGUGGUGGCGCACGCCUGUAGUUCCAGCUACUUGGGAGGCUGAGGUGGGAGAAUCACUUGAACCCAUGAGGCGGGGGUUGCUGUGAGCCGAGAUCACGCCACUGCACUCCAGCCUGGGUGACAAGAGUGAGAUUCCAUCUCAA